This 366-nucleotide ribosomal RNA is filed under the name uncultured organism. RNAcentral describes it as "bacterial SSU rRNA". It matches the Rfam family "Bacterial small subunit ribosomal RNA", at positions 526 to 896 of the family's 1533-position model. The record is from RNAcentral.
CGGAGGGUGCAAGCGUUAUCCGGAUUCACUGGGUUUAAAGGGUGCGUAGGUGGGCAGGUAAGUCAGUGGUGAAAUCUCCGGGCUUAACCCGGAAACUGCCAUUGAUACUAUCUGUCUUGAAUACCCUGGAGGUGAGCGGAAUAUGUCAUGUAGCGGUGAAAUGCUUAGAUAUGACAUAGAACACCCAUUGCGAAGGCAGCUCACUACGGGAGUAUUGACACUGAGGCACGAAAGCGUGGGGAUCAAACAGGAUUAGAUACCCUGGUAGUCCACGCCCUAAACGAUGGAUACUCGACAUCAGCGAUAAACUGUUGGUGUCUGAGCAAAGCAUUAAGUAUCCCACUGGGAAGUACGAUCGCAAGAUUG